CCUACGGGAGGCAGCAGUGAGGAAUAUUGGUCAAUGGCCGUAAGGCUGAACCAGCCAAGUCGCGUGAAGGAAGAAGGAUCUAUGGUUUGUAAACUUCUUUUAUAGGGGAAUAAAGGUAUCCACGUGUGGAUAUUUGCAUGUACCCUAUGAAUAAGCAUCGGCUAACUCCGUGCCAGCAGCCGCGGUAAUACGGAGGAUGCGAGCGUUAUCCGGAUUUAUUGGGGUUAAAGGGUGCGUAGGUGGUUUUUUAAGUCAGCGGUGAAAGUUUGUGGCUCAACCAUAAAAUUGCCGUUGAAACUGGAAGACGUGAGUGUGUUUGAGGUGGGCGGAAUGCGUGGUGUAGCGGUGAAAUGCAUAGAUAUCACGCAGAACUCCGAUUGCGAAGGCAGCUUACUAAGCCAUAACUGACACUGAAGCACGAAAGCGUGGGGAUCAAACAGGAUUAGAUACCCCUGUAGUC
RNAcentral lists this ribosomal RNA (460 nucleotides) under uncultured bacterium. Its description in RNAcentral is "partial 16S ribosomal RNA". It matches the Rfam family "Bacterial small subunit ribosomal RNA", at positions 338 to 795 of the family's 1533-position model. The record is from RNAcentral.